CAGCCGCCACGGUAAUACAGAGGGUGCGAGCGUUAAUCGGAUUUACUGGGCGUAAAGCGUGCGUAGGCGGCUUCUUAAGUCGGAUGUGAAAUCCCUGAGCUUAACUUAGGAAUUGCAUUCGAUACUGGGAAGCUAGAGUAUGGGAGAGGAUGGUAGAAUUCCAGGUGUAGCGGUGAAAUGCGUAGAGAUCUGGAGGAAUACCGAUGGCGAAGGCAGCCAUCUGGCCUAAUACUGACGCUGAGGUACGAAAGCAUGGGGAGCAAACAGGAUUAGAUACCCGCGUAGUCCCUGCCUCUUAUAC
This 301-nucleotide ribosomal RNA is filed under the name uncultured bacterium. RNAcentral's name for it is "partial 16S ribosomal RNA". It matches the Rfam family "Bacterial small subunit ribosomal RNA", at positions 509 to 807 of the family's 1533-position model. The record is from RNAcentral.